CGGGGAGAGUUGUCUCUUCUCUAUAAGCGUUCGAGUUCCCUGGAAGCCUCUAGGAGGGAGAUAGGGUUUGGAACGCGAAGAGCACCGCACUUACGGCGGUGUCCGGAUCUUCCCCUCGGACCUUGAAAAUCCGGGCGAGGGCCACGAGGAACACCGCGCCGGCUCGUACCCAUAUCCGCAGCAGGUCUCCAAGGUGAAUAGCCUCUAGUCGAUAGAAUAAUGUAGGUAAGGGAAGUCGGCAAACCCGAUCUGUAACUUCGGGAUAAGGAUUGGCUCUGAGGAUCGUGGCGCGCCGGGCUUGGUCGGGAAGUGGAGCGGUGCCAACGUGCCGGGCCUGGGCGAGGUGAAGGGCGCCCGUCGUCCGGACCCUAGCUCGGUCCCGUGCCUUGGCCACCCACGGACCUUCCUUGCUGCGAGCCUCCCGGCUGUCUAGUUUCCGGCUCAGCCGGAGGACGGGCCGGAAGGCUCUUCGGCCGCCAUAGAACGAUCAACUUAGAACUGGCACGGACCAGGGGAAUCCGACUGUCUAAUUAAA
RNAcentral lists this ribosomal RNA (535 nucleotides) under Galaesus hasticornis. Its description in RNAcentral is "partial large subunit ribosomal RNA". It matches the Rfam family "Eukaryotic large subunit ribosomal RNA", at positions 1681 to 2150 of the family's 3401-position model. The record is from RNAcentral. Lineage: Eukaryota; Metazoa; Arthropoda; Insecta; Hemiptera; Coreidae.